GUGACCAUCAAUGUAGAGAUUUAGCUUAUUAUGUGUGUGGUCUCUUUACCUUUAUUUCUGGAAACCUUGGCUGAGGGGAAGUCCUGUGCUCAACUAUGGCUAUUAUGAUUGGAUCUGCUCAUUUCUGGUUUUUCCUAUGCUAAAAGAAAAGAAUGGCCGAUUGAGAAGCUGAGGAAGUUUGAGGUCCCCAAAGCUCCGAAAUAUAUUUUCCUAUCAUUUGUCUAAUGGGACAUGCACCAAUACACUCUACCAACACUCUUAUGUAACCUGUCUUGCUGCAGCAGAAAAAAAAAUAUGUAAUUUUUAUCUCAAAAUCUUCUAGUAAAUAUCAUUUAUUUUUUAUAUUAGUUUCAUUUGAUAACACACGAAAGACACGUCUCUUCGAUUUAUACAUUUUCUUGUGGAUGGUCUUUUCUUGUUUAACAGGGAACUUUAUUAGCACAAGGAUCUCUAAAAACAUGUUUUCCUAAUCUGAGCUACAAUCAGAUUGUAGGACACUUUUUUUUGCCCUUAUGUUUGUCAUCCCCUGCUCACUGAAUUGUUUUUUUUGCAUUAGAAGACUCACCAAAUUCUACUUAUAAAUGUAGUUGGAAAGAGACUACGAGUGUGUGUAUUCACCUUAAA
Molecule: long non-coding RNA, 624 nt
Organism: Magnolia sinica
Lineage: Eukaryota; Viridiplantae; Streptophyta; Magnoliopsida; Magnoliales; Magnoliaceae
Exons: 2
Source: RefSeq, a predicted model, not a curated record